GUGGGACAUGAUUUUGGCGGUGCCUGUAUAUCCUUUGCGAUGGAGCGCCAUCCCCUUAAGGUUUCGAAAGCUGUGUUUGUUGCUGCUGCAAUGCUCACUAGUGGACAAAGUGCCCUUGAUAUGUUCUCACAAAAGACAGAUUCAAAUGACCUUAUGAGACAGUCUCAAAUAUUUAUUUAUGCCAAUGGGAACGACAAGUCUCCAACUGCUAUUGAUUUGGACAAGUCACUCCUCA
Molecule: unclassified non-coding RNA, 235 nt
Filed under: Hevea brasiliensis (rubber tree)
Lineage: Eukaryota; Viridiplantae; Streptophyta; Magnoliopsida; Malpighiales; Euphorbiaceae
Source: RNAcentral